Molecule: transfer RNA, 75 nt
Filed under: Pseudomonas sp. JV551A1
Lineage: Bacteria; Pseudomonadati; Pseudomonadota; Gammaproteobacteria; Pseudomonadales; Pseudomonadaceae
Description: Gln tRNA
Rfam family: tRNA
About the family: Transfer RNA (tRNA) molecules are approximately 80 nucleotides in length.
Source: RNAcentral
AGGGGCGUUGCCAAGCGGUAAGGCAGCAGGUUUUGAUCCUGCCAUGCGUUGGUUCGAAUCCAGCCGCCCCUGCCA